AAUGUCCAUAGAUUUGGCAAGCCAGGACUUAAUGGCGCAAAGCCUAUUGUGGCAAGGUUUUUAUACAGAAAAGAACUAGAAGCGGUGCUUAGAAACACAAACAAAUUAAAAGGAAAGAGCUUUGGAGUUAAUGAACAAUUCCCGGAAGAGAUUGAAACUCGGCGGAAAAAAUUGUACCCGGUUCUUAAAAAAGCUAGACACGAAGGGAAACAAGUUAAAUUGGUCCGAGACAAACUAUUUAUUAAUGGAAAACAAUAUCAAAGUACAGAAGAAGAGCAGAAUAUAGCAUCUGAAUACAGAGAGACCCUAUUGAAAAACAAUCAAAAGCAAAGUGGUGCAAGUCCUCCAGUACCACCUAGACCGUUUAAACGAACGCGUACACAAUCUUCCGAUACAAACUAUGAAGAAAACGAAUAUGUGUAGGACAACGCCGCUACAAGAGUUAAGGUUACUUCUGAACUUUCGAACUAUGAACCUGGGGGGCUAAAAUUGUCUUGUAUUAAUGUGUGUGGCUUAAAAUCUAAAUUGAUUAUUCCCGAAUUCAUUGAAACUAUUCAAAAAUACGAUAUUCUGGUAUGUAUUGAAUCAAAAAUUGAUGAAUUUGAUAUGCUAUCUUUGCCCGAUGGGUAUCUUUC
RNAcentral lists this long non-coding RNA (635 nucleotides) under Mytilus galloprovincialis (Mediterranean mussel). The record is from RNAcentral. Lineage: Eukaryota; Metazoa; Mollusca; Bivalvia; Mytilida; Mytilidae.